GAAACCCAUUGUAAGGAGUAAUCUGCAUCUGGCAUUGAUAAUAUCAAUGAAUGUGAAGAGACUCCCUGGGUGUGCAGCCAGUUGUGUGAGAAUACUGUGGGCUCUUUCUCUGUAAGUGUGUCCAUGGCUACCUAGAGACAGCUGAUGGGUGGACCUGCAAAAGAAGAGACAAUAUCAAUGAAUGUGAAGAGACUCGAUCCCUGGGUGUGCAGCCAGUUGUGUGAGAAUACUGUGGGCUCUUUCCACUAUAAGUGUGUCCAUGGCUACCUAGAGACAGCUGAUGGGUGGACCUGCAAAAGAAGAGACAGCAUUUAAUUCCAGAUAUAUUUACUGGACAGACUGGGGUCAUAUCUUUUACAUUGCUGGUGUACGUGGGAGUGGACAUCACCAACUGGUCAUCUGUGAUCACGGAGAAACUGGACUGGCCUAAUUCCUUGACCACUGACUAUGUCACCAGGGGGAUGUGGUGGGCUGAUGUUCAUCUGGAUUACAUUGAGUUAGUCUCAUAUUUUAGUUAUAGAUUUAUUUUCUAGGAUAAUAUCGUGGAAUACUCAUUUUUAUGAUUGGGAAAAUGUGGCUAAAUUAAUAUUUGUUUAUAUAUGCUUAAUAUGCCUUCCCCCUUUUUUUUUUUUGAUAAAAUUGUAUUAUUUUGUUUAUAACAUCUUCAGUUGGGGAAUGUAACCAAAAUAAUUUGGUAUAUGGUACUGUCACAGGUUAUUACCUGCACUACAGCCAAGCAGGUCUGGAGGUUGUUAAGUUGAUUUUCUUCUAAUGGAGACAGUUCACUGCGGGUUUGGAGCUUUUCUUUUUCCAUUUAAUAUAUAUUAAAUGACAUGAAAUCUAAAAUACAUAUGUACAUUAGAUUUCAGGUAUGCCAACCUUGAUGGCAGCAACAGACAGUUAAUUGGUCAUAUCAGAAGUCAGAAUAGUCCACAUAUUUGCCAUUGCUGUGUUUGAAGACUGGAUAUAUUGGACUGACUGGAACCAUCUGAGUAUUGAAGAAGCUCACAAGUUUACCUAUUUUAGGGACAACAAUGGUGGCUGCUCUCACUUGUGCCUCAUCACACCAGGGGGCGCUGGAUUCAGGUGUGACUGUGUCUCGUGGAUGCAAUGGAACCAAAGUACAACAAAAUGGAGAAUUUCGAAGACUACAACAAACCAACCAAUUUCUCCACCCCAGUGUAUGACAAUAAAACACGAUUAGAACCUGCUAAAUCCAUGAAAAUAAAAAAGGACAUCUCCAGUCCCACUCACUCCAAUGGAGUAUUAGACAACCAGUCAUCAGAGAUCACAGUCCAUAUACCACAUAAGGAACUCUGUCUAUCAGUAACGGAAAACCAAUUACAACACUGAUGUUUUAGUCACUAAUAGAGAUUUAUGAGACCAAAGAUUUUUUGAGUAUAAAAACUCUUGAUGAUCAUUCCACAGUUGCAGCAAAAUUCGAGAGAGAAUAUGUCUCGCACAAAGCAGAAUAGAUGUUGGUAGUUAUGAUGGAACUUUAUUAUGAAGUGUUAUAUUAAACCCAUACAAAAUAUUUGUUCUUGUAUGGGUGCAGCUUUCCAACUCUGAUGAAGAAUUGGAAUUCCUGUUUACUAAAUAAUUCCAGAUAAAAUGUUACGCUGUUAAAGAGUCAGUC
Molecule: unclassified non-coding RNA, 1636 nt
Filed under: Lingula anatina
Lineage: Eukaryota; Metazoa; Brachiopoda; Lingulata; Lingulida; Lingulidae
Description: low-density lipoprotein receptor-related protein 2- like, transcript variant X1
Source: RNAcentral